This 391-nucleotide ribosomal RNA is filed under the name uncultured bacterium. RNAcentral's name for it is "bacterial SSU rRNA". It matches the Rfam family "Bacterial small subunit ribosomal RNA", at positions 505 to 898 of the family's 1533-position model. The record is from RNAcentral.
GUGCCAGCAGCCGCGGUAAUACGGAGGAUCCGAGCGUUAUCCGGAUUUAUUGGGUUUAAAGGGUGCGUAGGCGGACUAGUAAGUCGGCUGUGAAAGUUAGUGGCUCAACCACUAAAUUGCAGUUGAAACUGUUGGUCUUGAGUAUACAUGAGGUGAGCGGAAUUUGUGGUGUAGCGGUGAAAUGCAUAGAUAUCACAAGGAACUCCAAUUGCGAAGGCAGCUCACUGGGGUAUAACUGACGCUGAGGCACGAAGGUGCGGGUAUCAAACAGGAUUAGAUACCCUGGUAGUCCACACAGUAAACGAUGAUUACUAGUUUUUUGCGAUAUACAGUAAGAGACUAAGCGAAAGCGAUAAGUAAUCCACCUGGGGAGUACGUUGGCAACAAUGAA